CCUACGGGAGGCAGCAGUGAGGAAUAUUGGUCAAUGGGCGCGAGCCUGAUCCAGCCAAGUAGCGUGAAGGAUGACUGCCCUACGGGUUGUAAACUCCUUUUAUAAAGGAAUAAAGUGAGGAACGUGUGCCUUUGUGCAUGUACUUUAUGAAUAAGGAACGGCUAACUCCGUGCCAGCAGCCGCGGUAAGACGGAGGAUCCGAGGGUGAUCCGGAUUUACUGGGUUGAAAGGGUGCGUAGGGUGUUUGUUAAGUCAGCGGUGAAAGCUUGUGGCUCAACCAUAGAAUUGCCGUUGAAACUGGAAGGCUUGAGUGUGUUAGAGGUAGGCGGAAUGCGUGGUGUAGCGGUGAAAUGCGUAGAUAUCACGAGGAAUUCCGAUUGCGAAGGCAGCUUACU
This 395-nucleotide ribosomal RNA is filed under the name uncultured bacterium. RNAcentral describes it as "partial 16S ribosomal RNA". It matches the Rfam family "Bacterial small subunit ribosomal RNA", at positions 338 to 730 of the family's 1533-position model. The record is from RNAcentral.